Molecule: long non-coding RNA, 231 nt
Organism: Suricata suricatta (meerkat)
Lineage: Eukaryota; Metazoa; Chordata; Mammalia; Carnivora; Herpestidae
Exons: 3
Source: RefSeq, a predicted model, not a curated record
UAAUGUGGGAUGCAAUGGAUUCUGGGAAAAUUGAUGAGUGAAUUGUUCUAAUCUGUGGGUUCUUAGGAUAUGAGGACAUUUGAUGAAUGGUUCCUGCUGGCCAAGAACUGUCAAGUGGGCACAAUAGGCAAGCAUAUGGCUACCAACCCACCAAUCCAUGUAGAGUGUCCUCAGGACUUGCAGGGAAAGUUUCUGCUGGAGGAAACGGAUUCCUGGAAGCUGUCAGAGGAG